GACGAACGCUGGCGGCGUGCUUAACACAUGCAAGUCGAACGGAAAGGCCCUGCUUUUGUGGGGUGCUCGAGUGGCGAACGGGUGAGUAACACGUGAGUAACCUGCGCUUGACUGUGGGAUAACUUCAGGCAACUGGGGCUAAUACCGGAUAGGAGCUCCUGCUGCAUGGGGGGGGUUGGAAAGUUUCGGCGGUUGGGGACGGACUCGCGGCUUAUCAGCUUGUUGGUGGGGUAGUGGCUUACCAAGGCAUUGACGGGUAGCCGGCCUGUGGGGGUGACCGGCCGCACUGGGACCUAGAGGCGGCCCAGACGCCUACUGGAGGAAGCAGUGGGGAAUCUUGCUCCAUGGGCGGCAGCCGGAUGCAGCAACGCCGCGGGCUGGAUGACGGCCUUAGUGUUGUAAACCGGUUGUGAGUGUGACGAUGCGUGAGUGACCGUAACCGGCAAAGAAGCACCGGCUAACUACGUGC
This 469-nucleotide ribosomal RNA is filed under the name uncultured bacterium. RNAcentral describes it as "partial 16S ribosomal RNA". It matches the Rfam family "Bacterial small subunit ribosomal RNA", at positions 28 to 508 of the family's 1533-position model. The record is from RNAcentral.